GCUUAACACAUGCAAGUCGAGGGGCAGCAUGGUCUUAGCUUGCUAAGGCCGAUGGCGACCGGCGCACGGGUGAGUAACACAUAUCCAACCUGCCGUCUACUCUUGGACAGCCUUCUGAAAGGAAGAUUAAUACAAGAUGGCAUCAUGAGUCCGCAUGUUCACAUGAUUAAAGGUAUUCCGGUAGACGAUGGGGAUGCGUUCCAUUAGAUAGUAGGCGGGGUAACGGCCCACCUAGUCUUCGAUGGAUAGGGGUUCUGAGAGGAAGGUCCCCCACAUUGGAACUGAGACACGGUCCAAACUCCUACGGGAGGCAGCAGUGAGGAAUAUUGGUCAAUGGGCGAGAGCCUGAACCAGCCAAGUAGCGUGAAGGAUGACUGCCCUAUGGGUUGUAAACUUCUUUUAUAAAGGAAUAAAGUCGGGUAUGGAUACCCGUUUGCAUGUACUUUAUGAAUAAGGAUCGGCUAACUCCGUGCCAGCAGCCGCGGUAAUACGGAGGAUCCGAGCGUUAUCCGGAUUUAUUGGGUUUAAAGGGAGCGUAGAUGGAUGUUUAAGUCAGUUGUGAAAGUUUGCGGCUCAACCGUAAAAUUGCAGUUGAUACUGGAUAUCUUGAGUGCAGUUGAGGCAGGCGGAAUUCGUGGUGUAGCGGUGAAAUGCUUAGAUAUCACGAAGAACUCCGAUUGCGAAGGCAGCCUGCUAAGCUGCAACUGACAUUGAGGCUCGAAAGUGUGGGUAUCAAACAGGAUUAGAUACCCUGGUAGUCCACACGGUAAACGAUGAAUACUCGCUGUUUGCGAUAUACAGCAAGCGGCCAAGCGAAAGCGUUAAGUAUUCCACCUGGGGAGUACGCCGGCAACGGUGAAACCCAAAGGAAUUGACGGGGGCCCGCACAAGCGGAGGAACAUGUGGUUUAAUUCGAUGAUACGCGAGGAACCUUACCCGGGCUUAAAUUGCAGAUGAAUUACGGUGAAAGCCGUAAGCCGCAAGGCAUCUGUGAAGGUGCUGCAUGGUUGUCGUCAGCUCGUGCCGUGAGGUGUCGGCUUAAGUGCCAUAACGAGCGCAACCCUUGUUGUCAGUUACUAACAGGUUCCGCUGAGGACUCUGACAAGACUGCCAUCGUAAGAUGUGAGGAAGGUGGGGAUGACGUCAAAUCAGCACGGCCCUUACGUCCGGGGCUACACACGUGUUACAAUGGGGGGUACAGAGGGCCGCUACCACGCGAGUGGAUGCCAAUCCCCAAAACCUCUCUCAGUUCGGACUGGAGUCUGCAACCCGACUCCACGAAGCUGGAUUCGCUAGUAAUCGCGCAUCAGCCACGGCGCGGUGAAUACGUUCCCGGGCCUUGUACACACCGCCCGUCAAGCCAUGGGAGCCGGGGGUACCUGAAGUGCGUAACCGCGAGGAGCGCCCUAGGGUAAAACUGGUGACUGGGGCUAAGUA
RNAcentral lists this ribosomal RNA (1437 nucleotides) under uncultured organism. RNAcentral describes it as "SSU rRNA". It matches the Rfam family "Bacterial small subunit ribosomal RNA". The record is from RNAcentral.